GGAGGGAUACCGAAGUGGUCGUAACGGGGCCGACUCGAAAUCGGUUGAUCGCCUGAUAAGCGGUCCGGGGGUUCGAAUCCCUCUCCCUCCGCCA
Molecule: transfer RNA, 94 nt
Filed under: Syntrophorhabdaceae bacterium PtaU1.Bin034
Lineage: Bacteria; Pseudomonadati; Thermodesulfobacteriota; Syntrophorhabdia; Syntrophorhabdales; Syntrophorhabdaceae
Description: tRNA-Ser
Rfam family: tRNA
About the family: Transfer RNA (tRNA) molecules are approximately 80 nucleotides in length. Their secondary structure includes four short double-helical elements and three loops (D, anti-codon, and T loops).
Source: RNAcentral